RNAcentral lists this ribosomal RNA (408 nucleotides) under uncultured bacterium. Its description in RNAcentral is "partial 16S ribosomal RNA". It matches the Rfam family "Bacterial small subunit ribosomal RNA", at positions 28 to 526 of the family's 1533-position model. The record is from RNAcentral.
GACGAACGCUGGCGGCGUGCUUAACACAUGCAAGUCGAACGAAGUGGCGAACGGGUGAGUAACGCGUAAUCAACCUGCCCUUCAGAGGGGGACAACAGUUGGAAACGACUGCUCAUACCGCAUACUGAAGGAGGGGCUGUCGUCUGAUUAGCUAGUUGGAGGGGGAACGGCCCACCAAGGCGAUGAUCAGUAGCCGGGCUGAGAGGAUGAACGGCCAAAUUGGGACUGAGACACGGCCCAGACGCCUACGGGAGGCAGCAAGGGGGAAACUUCCGCAAUGGACGAAAGGCUGACUGAGGAACGCCGCGUGAGUGAUGACGGCCUUCGGGUUGUAAAGCUCUGUUAAUCGGGACGCGGUACCGGAAUAGAAAGCCACGGCUAACUACGUGCCAGCAGCCGCGGUAAUUC